GGAUCCUUCCCUUUGGAGUUUUCUACUGUAAGCUUAGGACAUGGAGGAAUGACCAUCCAGUAGUGCUUCCCCUGUCCUUAACAGGAUUCCAGGAAGUAGAGAAAAACAAGCAGUCAGAGAUGAGAAAUCAUCCCUCGCAUUCCCAAUAAGCCUUGGCCUUUCCAGUGAUGCAGAGGGCAAUUACUGUAAUCUUUACUCUCUAUAAAGUGCAGGAGAGAUGUCAGCAGUCACCCGUGACAAGGAUAAAGCAGGACAGGCAAUGUGGCAACUGAAGAGAAAAAGCUGUAAUGCCAUAGCAAAUGUAUCUACUGCUAUUAUUUGCUCUCAUGAGUGGAAAUUAAAAUUAAAAAAGCA
Long non-coding RNA from Gallus gallus (chicken), 354 nucleotides. NCBI's taxonomy places the organism in Eukaryota, Metazoa, Chordata, Aves, Galliformes, Phasianidae. The record is from Ensembl.